AGCAGAGGACUGAAAAUCC
This 19-nucleotide transfer RNA is filed under the name Aristida queenslandica var. dissimilis. RNAcentral's name for it is "partial tRNA-Phe". The record is from RNAcentral. Lineage: Eukaryota; Viridiplantae; Streptophyta; Magnoliopsida; Poales; Poaceae.